RNAcentral lists this ribosomal RNA (633 nucleotides) under uncultured bacterium. RNAcentral describes it as "bacterial SSU rRNA". It matches the Rfam family "Bacterial small subunit ribosomal RNA", at positions 159 to 809 of the family's 1533-position model. The record is from RNAcentral.
ACUGCUAACACCGCAUAAGCGCACAGGGCCGCAUGGCCCGGUGUGAAAAACUCCGGUGGUAUGGGAUGGGCCCGCGUCUGAUUAGCCAGUUGGCGGGGUAACGGCCCACCAAAGCGACGAUCAGUAGCCGACCUGAGAGGGUGACCGGCCACAUUGGGACUGAGACACGGCCCAAACUCCUACGGGAGGCAGCAGUGGGGAAUAUUGCACAAUGGGGGGAACCCUGAUGCAGCGACGCCGCGUGAGCGAAGAAGUAUCUCGGUAUGUAAAGCUCUAUCAGCAGGGAAGAAAAACGACGGUACCUGACUAAGAAGCCCCGGCUAACUACGUGCCAGCAGCCGCGGUAAUACGUAGGGGGCAAGCGUUAUCCGGAUUUACUGGGUGUAAAGGGAGCGCAGGCGGCGCGGCAAGUCUGAUGUGAAAGCCCGGGGCUCAACCCCGGGACUGCAUUGGAAACUGUCGCGCUCGAGUGUCGGAGGGGUAAGUGGAAUUCCUAGUGUAGCGGUGAAAUGCGUAGAUAUUAGGAGGAACACCAGUGGCGAAGGCGGCUUACUGGACGACAACUGACGCUGAGGCUCGAAAGCGUGGGGAGCAAACAGGAUUAGAUACCCUGGUAGUCCACGCCGUAAACGA